Molecule: long non-coding RNA, 2111 nt
Organism: Pan troglodytes (chimpanzee)
Lineage: Eukaryota; Metazoa; Chordata; Mammalia; Primates; Hominidae
Exons: 2
Source: RefSeq, a predicted model, not a curated record
GUCCCUGUUGGAGCGGCCCAGCCUGGCCUCCAGGUAUCUAGGUAUCCUCCCAUCUCAGGCCAGACUGGAGAUUGAGCGCCUGUUGUAUACGGGCCCUGGGCUAACCCUCCCCCCAUCACACAACUCAACAGCAACGCCCAAGCCACAACUUCUCUGGGCCUCAGGUUCCCUACCUGCAAAACAGUGUGGGUAACAGUACCCCCCCAACCCAUGGCACUCAAGGAGGGAUGAAUCGAGUUCAGGAGGUUAAGGUGGGCACCAACAGGUGUCAGAGAAGGGGGCACCAGGGCAGUCCCAUUUCAUGGUUGACGACAACUGAGGCUCAGGGAUCCUCUGCUUGGAGACAUGGGGCUGGGGUUUGAACCCAGGUCUGGGUGACCACAGAGCCUCCCACGCAGACCCCACAAUCUCUGCAGGGCAACAGGGGUCUGGAGUUUCCCGGUCCUCUGGGAUCCCGAGUGGGCCAGAUGUCUCGGACGGCAACACACUCACCCAGCCUAGAGUGCCUUCCACCCAGGGCCAGUCCUAAUGGCCUGGGUGAAGAACAGAGACUCCUGGGGCCUGGGUCCCACCCGAGCCACCCCCUAGCCCAGGCCACACCUCCACCCGCCCAGGCCGCCAAUAAAACAGGCCGGGCAGAACCCAACAGGCCUGGAGUGACACCCCAGAGGGAAGGCACAUCAUGGGGACAGCGGAGGGGGCAAAGCUCCACCCUCCCGAGAGGCAGCUGGGCCCAGGAGGCCGCCCCCAACCCUUACCGUGGCAAAGGAGCCCCCAAGACUCAUACACAGCUCCUGGGCAGACAAGGCCUGGAGAGACGAGGAGGCAGAGGCCCCUGGAACUCAGAUCCCUCCUGUGACCCGACCCCACCCAGGGUCUGGUCGGGUCUGUCGCCCCUCCCCCACCUGGGACAACUUCAAGACAAGGCCCCCCCCCACGGAAGAGCUCCAAGCAAAGCCCCCCCUCUUUGGGGGCACAGAAGGAAGAGGCCAAAGGAAGCCACUCCCCCCACCAGCCUGCUCCGAGCCCUGCUGGGUUUAAUGACCCUUCCGGGUCGCCGGGUGGGGGAGGGGAGCAGGACAGACCUCCACGUUGGGGCCGGUGGAGGGGGCAGGUGGGGAUCCCAGAUUCCCCCCUAGGUCAGGGCUGGGUGCCCCCCCAUCGCCGCCAUUAACCCUAAACUAGCUACGCCCACCCCCUUCAGACCCCUCCCCCCAAGAGCCCUUUGUCCUCGACCCCCACCCCCAUUUUAUGACAGCCCCAAGGGAGAGGCUGGGACGGGGCGCUGGGUGGUCGGUCGUUGGACCAGGCAGGGGUGGGGGGCGGAGGGAUCCUGGGCCACACCCUCCUCCCCCCAGGCCUCCGGAGAGAGGUCACCCGCUCGGCCCGGGCCUUGCAAAACAUGGUUAUUUAAAGAGUUGUGCAAGGCCCCGGGCCCGCGGGUGGCGAAAGGGGCCCCUCACUCCACGAAGGGAAGAGGAGGGGGAGGGGCGGGGCAGAAAGCUGGGGAGGGGGCUAAGAAAGUCCUGGGUUGGGGGGUGCCUGGAGGAAGUGAGAAAAAAACUCAAGAAGGAGAAGAAAUAAGAAGACAGAAACCCUGGUCCGGAUUUCAAAGGCUUCUUGGAAAGCGGCCGAUUUGCAUGGGGGGGGAACCCCUCCAGCCCGAGCGCCUAAAAACGGAAGAUAAUUGAACCCGCCGCCCGGGGCCGGCGCCGAGCGUUGGAGUUGACAAACGCGCGCUCCCAGCGCUUCCUGCGCCCGCUUUUGUGUCUGGGGGGCCCUGAAACGGGUCAGGGGGCUCUUCCUGGGUAUCCCCGCCGAGGAACCGGGCGCCCGGGCCCAACCCACCCCGGCGCGCGGGGGCCGCGGUGUCUCCCCCGGGGGCCCCUCUCUGCGCUGGGGCGGACACUUUAUAAAUAAACCAGCCCGGCUGGGGAGGCUCGCCGGGAACUACCCUCCCUCCUCUCCGGGCUCCCGAAUAAAUCCCUGAUUUCGGGGAGAAAGAAUAAAAAUGAAAUAAAAUAUCGGGGUGCAGCCCCCCGCGCGCGCGCAGAGACCAUUUCCUUCCGCUGGGGGGGGGGGGCGCGCACUCGCGACCCCCGAUCGCCCCU